Danio rerio (zebrafish) is the source of this 1005-nucleotide non-coding RNA. Lineage: Eukaryota; Metazoa; Chordata; Actinopteri; Cypriniformes; Danionidae. The record is from RefSeq and is a predicted model, not a curated record.
UUGUUUUUUUUCUAGGAUGGUCAUUCCAAACCUGUGCUUGCAGAAGUGGCAAUCAUGCGUAGGUUGAUGAAAGCUCCGCAAUGUCCGAACAUCAUCAGAUUACAUGACUGGAUUGAGAAUGAGAGCGAAUGCAUUCUCAUUUUGGAGUACCCAGAGUCAUGCCAGACUUUGGGUCGUUACAUCAAAAAGACAUCGGACAUGGAUGAAAACAAAGCACGCCGGUUAAUGCGUCAGUUGGUCCAAGCUGUCAAGUUCUGCGUUGAACGUGGAGUUUUCCAUGGUGAUAUACACUCGCAGAACAUCCUGGUGACUACACCCCAGUUAGAGCUCAAAUUGAUCGACUUCGGUUGUGCUUGGCCAGUCACCCGUAGGCCUUUCUUCAGCUAUAAUUAUCAAGGUGAGUGGGCAUUUUGUGUCAAGUGUCUUUGAUCACAGUAUUGCCUGAUGAAAUGACUGAAUUCUGAAAAUGUCUCUCUUACAGGAGCUAGACGUUGCACGCCAGCUGAGGUUUUAAUGCAUCGCAAAUUCUCCCCUACCAUGGCAAAUGUCUGGGCGAUAGGCAUCGUGCUGUUUGAAAUAUUGCAUAGACGGUUGCCCUUUUACGACAGACCAACGAUAAUGGGUGGAGGCCUUCGCAUGGACCCCACCUUAUCUUCAGCAUGCAAGGACCUGAUCUCCCAGUGUUUGGUCCGCAAUCCAGUUAUGCGAAUACAGUUACAUCAGGUUGAAGUGCACCGGUGGUUCAAUACAACGAGCCCAGAUGCUGUGCAGCAGUGACACAAGAGGAGAACUAUACAGUUGCCAAGAAGAGGAAAGCACUAUUAAGAGCACCAGAAAUUAUUAUUAUUAAGUUAUUAAUUACUCCCUCAUGUCAUUCCAAACCCUUAAGACCUUACUUUUCUUCAGUGUCAGUUCAUGGCGUGUGUUUGAGAGAGCUCUGUCCUGCACUGUAUGCGUGACGCACUGCUAACAUAUACCUGGAUGUGCCCACGCUUUGUUUAAAUG